CAGUCGCCGCGGUAAUACGAAGGGGGCUAGCGUUGCUCGGAAUGACUGGGCGUAAAGGGCGCGUAGGCGGCGAUCAAAGUCAGGCGUGAAAUUCCUGGGCUCAACCUGGGGGCUGCGUUUGAUACUUGAUUGCUAGAGUGGGGAAGAGGGUCGUGGAAUUCCCAGUGUAGAGGUGAAUUUCGUAGAUAUUGGGAAGAACACCGGUGGCGAAGGCGGCGACCUGGUCCUUGACUGACGCUGAGGCGCGAAAGCGUGGGGAGCAAACAGGAUUAGAUACCCCAGUAGUCCCUGUCUCUUAUAA
RNAcentral lists this ribosomal RNA (301 nucleotides) under uncultured bacterium. RNAcentral describes it as "partial 16S ribosomal RNA". It matches the Rfam family "Bacterial small subunit ribosomal RNA", at positions 509 to 809 of the family's 1533-position model. The record is from RNAcentral.